UAUACGACUCUCGGCAACGGAUAUCUCGGCUCUCGCAUCGAUGAAGAACGUAGCGAAAUGCGAUACUUGGUGUGAAUUGCAGAAUCCCAUGAACCAUCGAGUCUUUGAACGCAAGUUGCGCCCGAGGCCUUUCGGUUGAGGGCAUGCCUGCCUGGGCGUCACGC
Molecule: ribosomal RNA, 164 nt
Filed under: Lilium sargentiae
Lineage: Eukaryota; Viridiplantae; Streptophyta; Magnoliopsida; Liliales; Liliaceae
Description: 5.8S ribosomal RNA
Rfam family: 5.8S ribosomal RNA
About the family: 5.8S ribosomal RNA (5.8S rRNA) is a component of the large subunit of the eukaryotic ribosome. It is transcribed by RNA polymerase I as part of the 45S precursor that also contains 18S and 28S rRNA.
Source: RNAcentral